This 506-nucleotide small RNA is filed under the name Pan troglodytes (chimpanzee). Its description in RNAcentral is "processed transcript". Lineage: Eukaryota; Metazoa; Chordata; Mammalia; Primates; Hominidae. The record is from RNAcentral.
AAUUGUCCCGAAUCCCUGCAGGUCAGUACCUGGAAGAUUCCAUAAAGUCGGGGUGCUUGAGGGCGUAGGGCCGAGACCGUCGCGGGUACUGAGGCGCCUCCGUCGUCUCUCCCACUCGCCGCCCGCUUUCCAAGACAUAUGUCCCGCUUGCAGCCCAUUUCGAUGCUGCGAAACGUCUUUCUGUAGGUUGCGGCACAACGCCAGGCAAAAGAAGAGGAAGGAAUUUAAUCCUAAUCGGUGAAGGUCGAUUUGAGGGUCUGCUGUAGCAGGUGGCUCCGCUUGAAGCGAGGGAGGAAGUUUCCUCCGAUCAGUAGAGAUUGGAAAGAUUGUUGGGCGUGGCACACCACUAGGGAAAAGAAGAAGGGGCGAACUGCUUGUCUUGAGGAGGUCAACCUCCAGAAUCAGCUCUUGUGGCCUUGAAGUGGCUGAAGACGAUCACCCUCCACAGGCUUGAGCCCAGUCCCACAGCCUUCCUCCCCCAGCCUGAGUGACUACUCUAUUCCUUG